This is a long non-coding RNA of Nicotiana tabacum (common tobacco), 1087 nucleotides long. RefSeq lists it as uncharacterized. Lineage: Eukaryota; Viridiplantae; Streptophyta; Magnoliopsida; Solanales; Solanaceae. The record is from RefSeq and is a predicted model, not a curated record.
ACCAAAUAUAACACAAACCCUAAUCCUAAAAGAAACUAACCCAGCCGCAUCUCCUCAACCCCCCACCUUGGUCCGCCGCUACAACAUGCCCAAACUCACCGGAAUCAGGCGAGUUAACUCGCAAACUCGUGCACAUGGUCCCUCCUCAUCUCCUUUCUCCACGUCACUCUAAUCCUAAGGGAUUUCUGACAAAACGAAAUUAUUCUUUCCGAAUUUUACGCACUCCCUCUUAUUUUUCUGUCAGAGUUAUGCUCUUUUGGCGAAAAUAGGAAAACUGUGGGGCGUAGGAUUGAGUCACACUCGAUCUACUCCUUACAUCUGUCUUAUCUCGCCAAACCGAGAUUGUUUUUUGGAUUUUUGGGGGUGAUUUUCGGAUUCCUUGGCAUCCAAGGAGAGAAGGUUCGAGUGAAUCUGUAAAUAGGAAGGAUUUUCAGUCAUAGAGGAGGGGAUUUCUUUUUAGGGCAGAAAUUUUGAGGAAAAUUAGGGAGUGCUCUUCUUCUUCUCGAUUGUCCUCUACGGUUUUCUUUUAAGUUUUAGUGUCAAAAAAUACAAAAACAAAAAAAGGCUAAAAGGCCACUGCAUCGUUUCAGUAGUUUUUUCUGAGUUUCGCUUGAUUCUGGGCUAAAUUCGGAAGUUAUUCCUUCUGUACUGCUACUGUUUAUGCUGCUCUGUUAAACUUGGCUUUAUACCUGGUUUUCUGACAUUUAUUUGGUCCCUUAUUUGUUGUUUCCUGCCACUAGCCAUUUAGCUGUUAUGCAUGACAGAGCCGAUUAAUAAGAGUAGCCCAGUGGCUAUUUUUUUAUAAAUCAGAGGUCUGUCCGAAGGAACGAGAGGUGUAUGAUUCAAGAAUAGCAAUGGUCGUGCAAGAUAUUGUGAAUGGAAUCAUGGAAUGCGUUGAACUAGCUUUAGAUUGUUGAAAUUUGUAAUCUAAAUCCCAAGCCCAGUUACUGUACAUGAUUGUUAAAUUCUUGACCCCAUGCCUUCAUGAAAUAUACAUAGUUGUCGAUAAUGAAUUGUAUUUGUUUACUUGAAAAUUUUCAUUAUUAUUGACAAAAUCAGCGUAUAGAUCCAUAUGUCUUUGAGUUCA